RNAcentral lists this ribosomal RNA (1017 nucleotides) under uncultured bacterium. RNAcentral describes it as "bacterial SSU rRNA". It matches the Rfam family "Bacterial small subunit ribosomal RNA", at positions 355 to 1375 of the family's 1533-position model. The record is from RNAcentral.
UGAGGAAUAUUGGUCAAUGGGCGCGAGCCUGAACCAGCCAAGUAGCGUGAAGGAUGAAGGUCCUACGGAUUGUAAACUUCUUUUAUAAGGGAAUAAAGUCACCCACGUGUGGGUGUUUGUAUGUACCUUAUGAAUAAGCAUCGGCUAACUCCGUGCCAGCAGCCGCGGUAAUACGGAGGAUGCGAGCGUUAUCCGGAUUUAUUGGGUUUAAAGGGAGCGUAGACGGGUCGUUAAGUCAGCUGUGAAAGUUUGGGGCUCAACCUUAAAAUUGCAGUUGAUACUGGCGUCCUUGAGUACGGUUGAGGCAGGCGGAAUUCGUGGUGUAGCGGUGAAAUGCUUAGAUAUCACGAAGAACCCCGAUUGCGAAGGCAGCCUGCUAAACCGCCACUGACGUUGAGGCUCGAAAGUGUGGGUAUCAAACAGGAUUAGAUACCCUGGUAGUCCACACGGUAAACGAUGGAUACUCGCUGUUGGCGAUAGACUGUCAGCGGCUUAGCGAAAGCGUUAAGUAUCCCACCUGGGGAGUACGCCGGCAACGGUGAAACUCAAAGGAAUUGACGGGGGCCCGCACAAGCGGAGGAACAUGUGGUUUAAUUCGAUGAUACGCGAGGAACCUUACCCGGGCUUGAAAUGCAGACGAAUUGCUUGGAAACAGGCAAGCCGCAAGGCGUCUGUGAAGGUGCUGCAUGGUUGUCGUCAGCUCGUGCCGUGAGGUGUCGGCUUAAGUGCCAUAACGAGCGCAACCCUCGUGUCCAGUUACUAGCAGGUUAUGCUGAGGACUCUGGACAGACUGCCAUCGUAAGAUGUGAGGAAGGUGGGGAUGACGUCAAAUCAGCACGGCCCUUACGUCCGGGGCUACACACGUGUUACAAUGGGGGGUACAGCAGGCAGCUACCGGGCGACCGGAUGCCAAUCCCGAAAGCCUCUCUCAGUUCGGACUGGAGUCUGCAACCCGACUCCACGAAGCUGGAUUCGCUAGUAAUCGCGCAUCAGCCACGGCGCGGUGAAUACGUUCCC